AGCGAACGCUGGCGGCGUGCCUAACACAUGCAAGUCGAACGUGAAAGGGAGCAAUCCCGAGUAAAGUGGCGUACGGGUGAGUAACACGUAGGUAAUCUACCCCAGAAUCUGGAAUAACCGGCCGAAAGGCUGGCUAAUACUGGAUAGAGCGACGGAAUCCGUAAUUGGGUUUUUCGGGAAAGGGAGCCUGUAAAAAGGCCUUCGUUCUGGGAUGAGCCUGCGUCCCAUCAGCUAGUUGGUGAGGUAAAAGCGUACCAAGGCAAUGACGGGUAGCUGGUAGGAGAGGACGAUCAGCCACACUGGAACUGAAACACGGUCCAGACGCCUACGGGAGGCAGCAGUGGGGAAUCUUGCGCAAUGGACGAAAGUCUGACGCAGCAACGCCGCGUGAGUGAAGAAGGCCUUCGGGUUGUAAAGCUCUGUCGAGUGGGACGAAAAUGCUUGGAGUUCACAGCUCCAGGAACUGACGGUACCACUAAAGGAAGCACCGGCUAACUCCGUG
RNAcentral lists this ribosomal RNA (502 nucleotides) under uncultured bacterium. RNAcentral describes it as "partial 16S ribosomal RNA". It matches the Rfam family "Bacterial small subunit ribosomal RNA", at positions 29 to 507 of the family's 1533-position model. The record is from RNAcentral.